AUGGUUCAUAUGCUCCUCUCUCGCAGCGCUGGCUCGUGCCACCGCCUUAGUGUGUCCAGGCUUCCCAACGACUCAUUGUUCGCCUUCAUCGCGGACCAUGCGCAAUCUCUCAAGACUUUGGAGAUUCCAAGGAGCGAAAUUAGCGACUCUAUAGUGGAAGCUGCUGCACAAAGACUGACUAAAGUUACAUUCCUGGAUGUAAGCAGCUGCACUAAGAUUGGCGCUCGUGCUCUGGAGGCAUUCGGUAAGAAUUGCAAAUCCCUCAUCAGACUUCGCCGAGUCAUGCACCCAAUGGAUGUCGCAGGGAAGGGGUGCCAUAAUGACGAGGCCCGUGCUAUUGCCUACAACAUGCCAAAGCUCUGCCACCUCGAGAUAGGGUACAUGCUUAUCGAGACAACGGCUGUCCUCGAGAUCACCUCCCGGUGCGAAGACCUCAAAUUCUUAGAUCUGCGUGGCUGUUGGGAUGUUGGUGAUAAGAUUUUGCAAGAGAAGUAUCCUGGGCUGAAAAUCCUCGGCCCCCACGUGGACGACUUCUAUGAGAACAACUUCUGGGAUGAGUGCUCGGAUGAUGACUCCAUCGACUCAUGGGAAGAGUUCGUGGACAAUGAGUACUUCGCCCUCGGGGGUGAUGACGAGGCCAUAUGGGACGACGAUCACGCUCUUGAGUGA
Molecule: ribosomal RNA, 669 nt
Filed under: Triticum aestivum (bread wheat)
Lineage: Eukaryota; Viridiplantae; Streptophyta; Magnoliopsida; Poales; Poaceae
Description: partial small subunit ribosomal RNA
Source: RNAcentral